AGAGUUUGAUCCUGGCUCAGAUUGAACGCUGGCGGCAUGCCUUACACAUGCAAGUCGAACGGCAGGCACGGGAGCUUGCUCCUGGUGGCAAGUGGCGAACGGGUGAGUAAUACAUCGGAACGUACCCUGAAGUGGGGGAUAACGUAGCGAAAGUUACGCUAAUACCGCAUAUUCUGUGAGCAGGAAAGAGGGGGAUCGCAAGACCUCUUGCUUUAGGAGCGGCCGAUGUCGGAUUAGCUAGUUGGUGAGGUAAAGGCUCACCAAGGCGACGAUCCGUAGCGGGUCUGAGAGGAUGAUCCGCCACACUGGGACUGAGACACGGCCCAGACUCCUACGGGAGGCAGCAGUGGGGAAUUUUGGACAAUGGGCGCAAGCCUGAUCCAGCCAUGCCGCGUGAGUGAAGAAGGCCUUCGGGUUGUAAAGCUCUUUCGGUGGGGAAGAAAUUGCUUCGGUUAAUACCUGGAGUAGAUGACGGUACCCGCAUAAGAAGCACCGGCUAACUACGUG
Molecule: ribosomal RNA, 507 nt
Filed under: uncultured bacterium
Lineage: Bacteria
Description: bacterial SSU rRNA
Rfam family: Bacterial small subunit ribosomal RNA
Source: RNAcentral